Gossypium raimondii (Peruvian cotton) is the source of this 110-nucleotide non-coding RNA. The record is from Rfam. Lineage: Eukaryota; Viridiplantae; Streptophyta; Magnoliopsida; Malvales; Malvaceae.
CACGUCAGUGCGAUGUCAGUGCACGCGCCAGGAAAUCGCGUCCACGUCAGCAACUCGCGCUGAUGUGGACGCGAUUUCCUGGCGCGUGCACUGACAUUGCACUGACGUGG